RNAcentral lists this ribosomal RNA (267 nucleotides) under uncultured archaeon. Its description in RNAcentral is "partial 16S ribosomal RNA". It matches the Rfam family "Archaeal small subunit ribosomal RNA", at positions 718 to 982 of the family's 1478-position model. The record is from RNAcentral.
CACUGACAUUAGAUACCCGGUAGUCCACGGGUGUAAACGCUGACAGACUUGGUGUUUGGAAGUCCUUUGGGGGCAUUCAGUGCCGGGAGAGAAGGUUAGUUAAGUACUGCUACUUGGGAGUACGUCCGCAAGGAUGAAACUUAAAGGAAUUGGCGGGGGAGCACCACAACGGGUGGAGCCUGCGGUUUAAUUGGACUCAACGCCGGAAAUCUCACCGGAUAGGACAGACAUAUGAUAGUCGGGCUGAAGACUCUACUUGAUGAUCUG